This is a long non-coding RNA of Onychostoma macrolepis, 1262 nucleotides long. RefSeq lists it as uncharacterized. The transcript has 2 exons. The record is from RefSeq and is a predicted model, not a curated record. NCBI's taxonomy places the organism in Eukaryota, Metazoa, Chordata, Actinopteri, Cypriniformes, Cyprinidae.
GCACGUUCGAGAGCGGGUUAGUUCAUUUAGCUGAACGGAUUCUGAGCACGCCCUCGCUGCUGAAAAUGCUGUCUACUAAGGCGGCUCGAAGCCUAAUCAGAGUGACGGAUAGCUGCUUCUGCCCUAACGUCACCCAGUCUGACGCUGAGCGUUCUUGUUGUUGCUUCUCUGUGGUCAAGAGGGCAGAGGUGGCCGGGCAGAGGGAGAUCUGCGGUCAGACCGUAGGAUUGAUGAGUGAGUUUCUAGGGGGAACUGUGAGGAAGUCCAUCUCCAGCCCACCCGUGGGCCACAGCAGCCCCACAUCAAACGGACCAGCUCCACUGUGAUGUAUGGCGGCUGCGCUGCACUUUCAACCAGAGUCGAGAAGGUCCAUCAAGGGAUUUAUCUCAAGGGAGGAUGAAAGGAGAAGCAGAGGCGUCUGCCAAACAAAGGCUCAUGGGGGCCAACAGUACAGGUCAGGCCUGGCCCUCAAACUGGAGAGAUUUAUAUUAGUCCACUUUAGCUGAAGACACAUUCUGGGCAGAGAUGGGUUGAGUGGAUACUAAAUAUUGGAAAAAUAUUGAUAAUAUUAAAAUCUGUGUACAAAAUACUUUUUCCCAGACUGUUCAAUAAUAAAAUGGUCAUUGAUGUGACCAAUGCAAAUGCAAUUCAUUUAUACGAUGACUUUUACUCUAUAAAGCCUACUGUAUCAUAAAAAAUGUCUAAGUCCUCUUAGAAAAAAAUUAAUUGCUGGAGAAAUAUCUCUUACAUAAUACAUUACAUGCUUUCUGAUUGGUGCUUCAUACUUUUUUAGCAAGUAAACAUCCUUUUAAUAUAAUUCUAAAACAUCCCUCUUCAUAUUGUGGUACGCAUGCCUGUUUGCUGUGAAAUCUUUACUGAUUUUUAUGCAUAUGCAUACUUGUUUAUAUUAUUAAUACUUUCAUUUUAUGUUUUUACCAUUUACUUGAUUAUCCAUAUAUAAUUUUUUAAAGAAAAAUCAUGUUUAAUAAGUCAGUAUCAAAUAUGAUACUUGAGGAUUUUGAGGAAAGUUCAUUUGUUCUCAAAUAUCUCUCAGUCAUCACUGUAUUUCAUUGCAUUAUGUUUUGCCCCCACAAUAGAAACUACAGAGCUUUGAUCGUAAAAAGCAUUUAAAUAUCAUCUUAUUUAUUAUGACUGACCACUGAUAUUUAUAUGCUUUGGCCAUAUAAAUAUCAUGCAACUGCACCAAAUUGUACAUUUUUGCUCAGUUUGGUUUUAUUAAUAAAAUUAAGGUGUUUAUUUUC